AAUACAUUAGUACAAACAGGUCCUUGUUUCUGCGAAAUCCGUUUGCAGGAUCAAGGUUAAAAGGGAAGUUUGGUGAAAUGCCAACGCGGUCCCGCCACUGUAAGAGAGGAGCUCUUCUUCACGGCGUUAGCCAUCCACUGCCCAAUUGGGAGCGGGAAGGAGAAGAUGAGCGAUGAUCCUCGAGCCAGGAGACCUGCCUGUUUUUGUGUGUGCAC
This 215-nucleotide non-coding RNA is filed under the name Brevibacillus choshinensis. Lineage: Bacteria; Bacillati; Bacillota; Bacilli; Caryophanales; Paenibacillaceae. The record is from RNAcentral.